RNAcentral lists this ribosomal RNA (253 nucleotides) under uncultured bacterium. RNAcentral's name for it is "partial 16S ribosomal RNA". It matches the Rfam family "Bacterial small subunit ribosomal RNA", at positions 524 to 776 of the family's 1533-position model. The record is from RNAcentral.
UACAGAGGGUGCGAGCGUUAAUCGGAAUUACUGGGCGUAAAGCGUGCGCAGGCGGUUUUGUAAGUCUGUCGUGAAAUCCCCGGGCUUAACCUGGGAAUUGCGAUGGAGACUGCAAGGCUGGAGUUUGGCAGAGGGGGGUAGAAUUCCACGUGUAGCAGUGAAAUGCGCAGAUAUCGGGAGGAACACCAAUGGCGAAGGCAGCUUGCUGGGACGGUACUGACGCUGAGGCGCGAAAGCGUGGGGAGCAAACAGG